UAGGGAAUCUUCGGCAAUGGACGAAAGUCUGACCGAGCAACGCCGCGUGAGUGAAGAAGGUUUUCGGAUCGUAAAACUCUGUUGGUAGAGAAGAACAAGGACGUUAGUAACUGAACGUCCCCUGACGGUAUCUAACCAGAAAGCCACGGCUAACUACGUGCCAGCAGCCGCGGUAAUACGUAGGUGGCAAGCGUUGUCCGGAUUUAUUGGGCGUAAAGCGAGCGCAGGCGGUUUCUUAAGUCUGAUGUGAAAGCCCCCGGCUCAACCGGGGAGGGUCAUUGGAAACUGGGAGACUUGAGUGCAGAAGAGGAGAGUGGAAUUCCAUGUGUAGCGGUGAAAUGCGUAGAUAUAUGGAGGAACACCAGUGGCGAAGGCGGCUCUCUGGUCUGUAACUUACGCUGAGGCUCGAAAGCGUGGGGAGCAAACAGG
RNAcentral lists this ribosomal RNA (429 nucleotides) under Gemmatimonadota bacterium. RNAcentral's name for it is "Gemmatimonadetes bacterium partial 16S ribosomal RNA". It matches the Rfam family "Bacterial small subunit ribosomal RNA", at positions 355 to 776 of the family's 1533-position model. The record is from RNAcentral. Lineage: Bacteria; Pseudomonadati; Gemmatimonadota.